UAUAAAACAUGGGACUACAUGAAGUUAGUUUACAUCAACUUACCAUCGGGAAGGCAAUUCAGAUGGCACACAAUGGUGGUCGUAUCACCAUUGUGUCACAAUCGAACGCAAAUCGAUAUUAACAAAGUAUGUAAUGUUACAGUUAUUGAUUAUUUCACAGUGUAUAGAGGCAACAAAGCAGUGUUGAUCGAGCAUUGAUAAAAUCGAUUGCUUUUAAGCAAACCUGAAAUUACAAAAACCACAAAGCAGGCAGAAAGUGAUGAAGAUGCUAACCGAUAGGGAUUCAGAAGACAGAUGAGGACAGAGACCUGCACCAAUAGACAAUAGGACUGUCCACAUUAGAACGGAGAAGAUGAAGAAGACUGAAGUGUUGUUUCAGAAUGCCACAUUCGUUUAGUUGUCAAAGCAAAUUUUGAAAGUGUUACACAACUAUUUCUUUCAUCGACGAAAUCUGCCCGUGCCAACUUGUCUUCUGUCCGUAAAGCUACAGAAAGGGAGACCAACACAGCUUUUGUAGGAGGCCGGUGAUUUACCCUCAUUCCAGGGUUCCGGUGCUGAACUGCUGGUGUAUGCCAUGACAUCGAAAAGGUCAUUUUUAUCUCUGAUGGGAUAUAUGCUCUUGACCUCACUACCGACGCAGAUUUCCUCUUGUAAAGAUAUAGUUACACCACCAAGAAUACCGAAUAACGGUAAGGUUUUCUCACGUAAAAAAGACGAAAUUAUCCAACAUGGCAAACGAGAGAUUUUUGUCGAAGGGACAUCUGUAUCGCAUGCGACAAAAGUGUAUCUUUUGCGAUGGUAAUUUUAGGUACUCCGAAAACAAUCGUUCGGCCUUGCUGAGACCUGCGAUAGAUAAGUAACUGGUUUAACCCGCACAUAAGCAAUUUUUGUCCCACAACCCAUCGUUAAUAAUCGUAAGUUGCAGGGAUAAAAUAUCUUGUAUCCGGGUCGCUUUAAGAUUUCGUGCUGUUUUUUUUCUUGAAUAAAGGUCUCCCCUAUCACUGUACAUUGACUCAGAAAAAAUUAUACAGGUUAACACUAAUGUGGAUCAGCUCGCCGGCUUCUUUUCUAAAAUCAUGAUGAUCGUUGGUCCGGGGUCCGGGGUAUAGAAGAAAUUAUGAGCGUUACAGGAGCCGAUUCAGGAGUUAUUGCAGCAGACACGCCGUCGGGUGAGGACUCCGUACCUGAUUUACUCCUAAAUUUUGGUCUGAUGUUCAGUAAUGACACGACCAAAUUUUGACUGACUGCUGUCUUUUUUUGCCAGAUCUGAAAUCAUUGCCUUAGGUCACCCGGCUGCAGAGCUGCGCACAAAGUCCGGUCUGUUCUUCAGCACUUAGUGCGAAGUAAAUUGCACAUCCCUUACAGUUGUUCAUUCUUUUGCCUGCUGCAGUGUAUCGACUUUACUACCUGAAUGGCAGCGAUGCCAUGGUGAAAAAUGGACAGUAUGUAUACUCUACAUCAUUUGGUCAUGCUCUUCGAAUGACUGGCGGCAAACAUGAAAACAUCAAUAUCAAACAACGCUUCACGUCAGGGUUACAUCCUAAGCCCUACACUAUCGCUUUUUACGUUAAGGUCAAAUGUAGGCGCAAGCAGCAGUACAUUCUCGAUGAAAUUGAGAAAGGCUACAGGCUCUCCAUUUACCUUGUAUUCAGAGCUCUAGCAGUAGCACACUACGUUCGGAAAAGGGCAUAUUUUACGCAUGCGAAAAUUUCUUGCUUUGACAAACAGGCCGGGUGGCACCUAUUGGCAAUGACUAUCCGCUACAAAAAAGGCGGUAGGUCAUAUAGGGCGAUGGUGUUUUGGGAUGGCUGGGACGUUACUCAAGACACAAAGCUUGGCACUGUCAAUGGGAGAUGGUGGGGAAAUCGACAUUAUCCUUUUCAUCUUGGAGCUGAAGCAUUUGGAAAGCACAAUUGGAAGUUCCAAGGAAAGAUGGCGAGGCUUAUGCUAUUUAAAUGUAUUCUAUCGCAGAAAUUUAUCUUCGAAAAUCUUGGUAGGUAUAUGUUUUCAAACUUGCAAUGCCAGAGGAGGGUGUGACAGUGCUUUACUGCAAUUUUAUCGUUCAAUGGGGGCUGCCUUUAGGCUUUAAGAUUUGACAUAUCAUGGAUUUAUUUCACUGAAGAUAUUCGUUUAAAAUCAGAGAAACACAAAGGAUCAGCACCGCGCGUGCAGUAUCGAGCCCGAAAACUUGGAAAAUAUUGGUUGGCUCGUUGAAGCCCUGGCGUUUUGACCGGAAAGUAGGCUGGCUGUUGUAGCUGCGCACAUUUGACCAAGUUUCCGUCCGUAACGCUAGAGAACGUUGACAUAGGUUCUCUGUCGACUGUCGGCUGUUCAGGCACUGAUCGAGCAGAUCAAGUGAUUUUCUAACUAGAUUAUCUGCGGUAGGUAUCGCUUCAGGCCGACUGAAUCGGUAUGAAUACGAGAAGUGUCCAUUUCUGAUGUGGAAAAAAUUAGAAAAAGAACGUCAUGUGUCACAGACGAGACUUGAGCACAUUGAACACCACUGGUUAGACAUGUAACAUAUGUAUAUCAUCACGUAUAAACUGGAAAAGAAUGAACAACACAAAAUCACCCCAUAUACAUAUAUUAUUUUUAAUCGCAUGGUGCUCAGUUCCAGAAAAGAACCUAGCCAUUUGCAAGAGUUGCUAUUUGAGGCAGGACCAAUACAAACAAAAUGUUACCUCUCUCAUCCCCAUAUACCUGCUAUCAUAAAGUGCAAGCUCUAGUGAACUCACACAACUGUUUGACAUGGGGGUGCCCCCCCCCCACACCCCCAUCCUUCUGACAUGUUUUAGCAAGUGAACUUGGGGGG
This is a long non-coding RNA of Lineus longissimus, 2812 nucleotides long. RefSeq lists it as uncharacterized. NCBI's taxonomy places the organism in Eukaryota, Metazoa, Nemertea, Pilidiophora, Heteronemertea, Lineidae. The transcript is spliced from 3 exons. The record is from RefSeq and is a predicted model, not a curated record.